CUGAAAUAAAUUGAAGAGUAUUGGUAAUAGUUCUUAUUUAAAGGUCUUGUAGAACUCAGUUGUGUAUUCAUCCAGUCCUGGGCUUUUCUUGGUUGGUAGGCUUCUGAUGGCAUCUUCUAUUUCAUCACUUGAUACUGUUCUGUUUAAAUUGUGUAUAUUUUCCUGAUUCAAUUUGGGCAAAUCAUAUGAAUCUAGAAAUUUGUUGAUGCCUUUGGUAUUUUUAUUUUAUUAAAGUACAAGUUUUCAAAAUAAUUUCUAAUUAUCUUCUGUAUUUCUGUAGUGUCUGUUGUGAUAUUUCCUAUUUCAUCACAUAUGUUAGUAAUUUGAGUUUUCUCUCUCCUUCUCUUCAUUAGCAUGGCUAAGGGUCUGUCAAUUUUAUUGAUUUUUUUCAAAGAACCAACUUUUUUUUCUGUCAAUUUUUUCAAUUAUUUCUUUUGUUUCAAUUUCAUUGAUUUCAGCUCUGAUUUUAAUUAUUUCCUGUCUUCUACUGCUUUCUGUGUAAAUUUGUUCUCCCUUUUCUAGGACUUUGAGAUGUAAUGCUAAGUCAUUUAUUUGUUGGCUUUUUCUUCUUUUAAGGAAUGAACUCCAUGAAAUGAACUUUCCUCUUAAAACUGCCUUCAUAGGGUUCCAGAGAUUUCAAUUUGUUGUAUCUGUGUUCUCAUUCACCUCUAAAAACUUUUUAAUCUCCUCCUUGAUGUCUUCUGCAACCCAUUGUUC
This 717-nucleotide long non-coding RNA is filed under the name Marmota monax (woodchuck). The record is from RNAcentral. Lineage: Eukaryota; Metazoa; Chordata; Mammalia; Rodentia; Sciuridae.